Molecule: long non-coding RNA, 1981 nt
Organism: Tyto alba (common barn owl)
Lineage: Eukaryota; Metazoa; Chordata; Aves; Strigiformes; Tytonidae
Exons: 4
Source: RefSeq, a predicted model, not a curated record
GCGCGCGGCGGCUGAGAGGGGCGGCGAGGCCGGCGCGCGGCGACGGGGACCGUUAGCGCGCGUGAGGGCGGGGGCCGGGGCACGAGCGGCCGCUGCCCUCAGCGGCGGCUCCUCUUUCUCGGCCGCAGCCGCCCGCGCCCAGCACCGUGCGGGUAACGGCCGCGCUCCCCGGGCGGCUCCUCGGGGCUUCACCGCCUACCUCUCGGGCGGCGCGCGCCCUUCCCGCCUCCGGGAUGCGGCCCUGGUUCCUCCCGCCCCGCGCGGCCGCUCGUCGGAGGCGCCGCAGCACCGUGCCCCGGCGGAUCGCGGGCAGCUGACCACUGCAUUUGAGGCCAGCCCGACAAAUACCAUUCUGCCCCGGCGAAGACAAAGCGGCACUGCUACCUCUCAAAAUGGCUGUUGGUUCUUCGUCCUCUCUUCAGGAGCAGAACAAAAAACAACCACAGUCUUUGAACUGAAAGAGUUCACACUCACUGAUGGUGGAGUGAAUUGUCCUCUGACAUUAUGCUUCAAGCUGGCUUAACACUUAAACUACAACCACCACCACUGCUGAAAAGGUACAUGCUGUUGGUUCCACCAGUUAUUCCUGGAUCUGCGUCUCCAUUCCCAGAACAGACAUAGGCUACGUGUGCAACUUCCCCUUCCACUUAUGGCCUCUAGCACCUCACGUUUGGAGGAUCUCUGUAGAAUGUGAAUGUUCUCUACUCAUCUUGUAGUUAUAUUUGGUUUUUUUCACUCUACAGUAUCACUUGAGCAACAGAUGACAUCAGUUGUUCCUAGCCAACAAACUCCAAUCAAAGAAAAGGAGAUGGACACAAACACACAGAAUAACCUUAAGCAUGCGGUAAAAGAAAACAUGGAAUUUUAAUACUGAAAAUUCAGAAAGAUAGUAAGACAUUAUAUAUAAAUCAUUAUAAUCUCUUAAAAAUUUGUGAAAACCAAAAGACACAUGAAGGGAAGCUGCGUUUUAAAACACUGAGCCCAGCCAAAAAGAUACGUGCACUUGAAAAGUACCAAGUGAUAUGAAUACACCAAAAUCAAGUUAUGGUGACUUCUUGAGGUGAAUUACAGCAUGCAUCUCAGAAAAGCCGAAAUAUAUAACUUCCUAGGCUGCUUGACUUGUGGUAGGAAUACAUAUAUUUAGCAUGUAACUGAAAUAUUCAAAAACAAAGAAACAAAGAGAACACCAAGACAGCUUUAAUAUUAUGCUUUGGAGGUUGUUACAAUGAUCAAUUCUUCCAUCCAUUCUUAGAAAAAACUUGCAUUCCGGUACUAUUUAGGAGACCCUUGAACAGAUUCCACACAAACAGGCGGCAUCCAGCCAGCCAAGUGUCACAGUCCAUCUUUCUUUACAAGUUCCUGCAGAAGAGACCCCUGCUGCAUUUCCGCAAGACACAGGAAUGACAGACACAAUUUAUCAUCCUGCCGAGCACCUUCAAAAACUCUGUGCCCUUUGAAAGUGGUCACCCAGAACUGAUCAUCUUCACUGUGAAAUGAAGAAUAACUAAGGUCUAGUGCCCUGCUGAGCUGAAUGAGGAGCCUGUGAGGUCUGUUUAUCCUCAUUGCCUUUUUUUAUAUAAAACAAAAAAACAAAAACCAAAAAACCCACCCAACCUGAAUUCCUCAUUAACACUUGAUGGAGGAGGGGGAAGGAAGAAUAAUGGGAUGGGGAAGAAAGGCAGAAAUGUAACUUCCAUCAAAAAAAAAUCAAACGUAUUUGAGAAAAACACAUUCUUUUCACCUUAAAGUGUCUUUAAUGCUCUACAUUUAGAAAAAGCACUAUAUUGAAUACCAUUCCUCUUACUCCUGUAUAAUGCAAGUAGUUUCAAAAAGAAUCGUCUUCAUAUAGAAGGGCCUGUUUAAAAAUAAAGUCUCUCAACUAGUCUCUACUAUCUAAAACCCAAGGUUGUUUCCACUGCAGGACAUCAUGGUUCAAUUGGUAGCAAGACUAGUUCAAUCCAAAAGCAGUGUCAGAAUUUUU